UAGCUUAAUGGUAAAGCACUUGACUGGUAAUCACAGGGAUGUGAGUUCAAGUCUCAU
Non-coding RNA from Octopus bimaculoides (California two-spot octopus), 57 nucleotides. NCBI's taxonomy places the organism in Eukaryota, Metazoa, Mollusca, Cephalopoda, Octopoda, Octopodidae. The record is from Rfam.